This is a long non-coding RNA of Paralichthys olivaceus (Japanese flounder), 259 nucleotides long. RefSeq lists it as uncharacterized. The record is from RefSeq and is a predicted model, not a curated record. Lineage: Eukaryota; Metazoa; Chordata; Actinopteri; Pleuronectiformes; Paralichthyidae.
AGGAGGAUAAAGAUCCACUGGAAAGCUUUCGAGAACUGGAAAAGACUGGAUAUCAGCACUGGAUUCAGGCCAAUAUGAAGAGAGGGAGUUGUCUGGAAAACUUGAGAAGCCACUGUAGAGCUUGAGAGAAAUUUAGUGCGUUGCAUCAUAAGGAAGGUCUCCACACUGCUUGGUCGGAUUAAUCUCUCGCAAAACCCACUGGAGGAAGCUAAAAAUACCCACCACUCCAGCUGAAAAAACACCAAUGGAGAAGCAGAGA